Molecule: long non-coding RNA, 234 nt
Filed under: Elaeis guineensis (African oil palm)
Lineage: Eukaryota; Viridiplantae; Streptophyta; Magnoliopsida; Arecales; Arecaceae
Description: long non-coding RNA (EGUI_LNC030346)
Source: RNAcentral
UGUUUCUUCUUGAAUCACCUUUAGCUGCAUGUACAAUUUCUUGCAAUUAGUGUUGAUUUUGCCAGUUUUUCAUGGACUAGUCUAUAUUGCUUGAUGGGAAUGACCUGUUGUUCUUUUACACACAUUUAAUUCCAUUAAUGACAUGAAAAUAAUUGACUUCCAUUUUGAAAGUUUUUUUCUUUCUUUCAGACAUUUGAAUGUUGUGUGGUCUCUAUGAUGUUGUCCUUUACAUAG